CAGAUCCAUGUGGUUUCCCAGUUUAAGAUUCUGGUCAGCUUGUUAGAAAAUAACAUUUAUGUCCAUGACCUAUUGACAUUUCAACAAAUCACUACGGUUUCAAAGGCAAAGGGAGCAUCACUGUUUACUUGUGACCUCCAGCACACAGAGACCGGUGAGGAGGUGUUACGGAUGUGUGUGGCAGUAAAAAAGAAGCUGCAGCUCUAUUUCUGGAAGGACAGGGAAUUUCAUGAAUUGCAGGGGGACUUUAGUGUGCCAGAUGUGCCCAAGUCCAUGGCGUGGUGUGAAAAUUCUAUCUGUGUGGGUUUCAAGAGAGACUACUACCUAAUAAGGGUGGAUGGAAAGGGGUCCAUCAAAGAGCUCUUUCCAACAGGAAAACAGCUGGAGCCCUUAGUUGCACCUCUGGCAGAUGGAAAAGUGGCUGUGGGCCAGGAUGAUCUCACCGUGGUACUCAAUGAGGAAGGGAUCUGCACACAGAAAUGUGCCCUGAACUGGACGGACAUACCAGUGGCCAUGGGUGAGACCAACAGUAGCUGCUGUUUCCCACUUUGGGUUGGGGUUGUGUGCCAUUCCUGCAGAACGGAGUCCCAUUCGUAGCUUUAGCAGACUGGUUUACAUUGUGUCAUUCACUUUCAGUUCCCCUUCUUAUAAAUAGAUGACAUUUUAGGGUCAUUAAAAAUGGGAUAGUCUAGUUCUUGGAAGAAGCUGAGUUUUACUCCAGAGGGGGAAAACAUAUAAACAGAAAUGUUUAUUUUAGGAAGUGAUUAUCUACUGCUAUUUUUUACUUCUUAGUUUUCUUCUUCCUCCUUUUUUUAAGAGUUUUGAUUGUGUCCUCUGCCAAA
RNAcentral lists this small RNA (842 nucleotides) under Pongo abelii (Sumatran orangutan). RNAcentral's name for it is "retained intron". The record is from RNAcentral. Lineage: Eukaryota; Metazoa; Chordata; Mammalia; Primates; Hominidae.